Molecule: ribosomal RNA, 429 nt
Filed under: bacterium
Lineage: Bacteria
Description: partial 16S ribosomal RNA
Rfam family: Bacterial small subunit ribosomal RNA
Source: RNAcentral
UAGGGAAUCUUCGGCAAUGGGGGCAACCCUGACCGAGCAACGCCGCGUGAGUGAAGAAGGUUUUCGGAUCGUAAAGCUCUGUUGUAAGAGAAGAACGUGUGUGAGAGUGGAAAGUUCACACAGUGACGGUAACUUACCAGAAAGGGACGGCUAACUACGUGCCAGCAGCCGCGGUAAUACGUAGGUCCCGAGCGUUGUCCGGAUUUAUUGGGCGUAAAGCGAGCGCAGGCGGUUUAAUAAGUCUGAAGUUAAAGGCAGUGGCUUAACCAGUGAUCGCUUUGGAAACUGUUAAACUUGAGUGCAGAAGGGGAGAGUGGAAUUCCAUGUGUAGCGGUGAAAUGCGUAGAUAUAUGGAGGAACACCGGUGGCGAAAGCGGCUCUCUGGUCUGUAACUGACGCUGAGGCUCGAAAGCGUGGGGAGCAAACAGG